Molecule: ribosomal RNA, 508 nt
Filed under: uncultured Glomus
Lineage: Eukaryota; Fungi; Glomeromycota; Glomeromycetes; Glomerales; Glomeraceae
Description: SSU rRNA
Rfam family: Eukaryotic small subunit ribosomal RNA
Source: RNAcentral
AGCAGCCGCGGUAAUUCCAGCUCCAAUAGCGUAUAUUAAAGUUGUUGCAGUUAAAAAGCUCGUAGUUGAAUUUCGGGAUCAAUAUUUCGGUCAUGCCGUUGGUAUGCACUGUUAUCAUUGAUUUCUCACCUUCUAAAGAACCGCAAUGCCAUUAAUUUGGUGUUACGGGGAAUUAGGACUGUUACCUUGAAAAAUUAGAGUGUUUAAAGCAGGCUCACGCUUGAAUACAUUAGCAUGGAAUAAUGAAAUAGGACAUCCGAUUCUAUUUUGUUGGUUUCUAGGAUCGAUGUAAUGAUUAAUAGGGAUAGUUGGGGGCAUUAGUACUCAAUUGUCAGAGGUGAAAUUCUUGGAUUUAUUGAAGACUAACUACUGCGAAAGCAUUUGCCAAGGAUGUUUUCAUUAAUCAAGAACGAAAGUUAGGGGAUCGAAGACGAUCAGAUACCGUCGUAGUCUUAACCAUAAACUAUGCCGACUAGGGAUCGGAUGAUGUUAAUUUUUAAUGACUCUA